Long non-coding RNA from Sciurus carolinensis (gray squirrel), 4252 nucleotides. RefSeq lists it as uncharacterized. The record is from RefSeq and is a predicted model, not a curated record. The transcript has 4 exons. Lineage: Eukaryota; Metazoa; Chordata; Mammalia; Rodentia; Sciuridae.
AGGUGUUCCAGUUUUUGCAUUUAUAAUCCAUUUGGCUUCUUUCAUGCCUGUUUCUGCCUAGUCCUGACAUCCAGACUGAGUAAAGGAUGCUUAUACAUUUGAAAAAUAGAUAUUGCAUAAAACUAAAAUGAAAUUGAACUGAAAAGACAGCAUAACAUCACUCAAUCAAAACAUAAAGGUGAAACUAUAAACUGGAAGCCUAAUUAAGACCUGCUGUUUCCUGAAAUUUCGUGUGCACAGCCCUGGGAAGGAAAGUUGCACUGAGGUUUACAGAAGGGAAUUCACUUGAAGGAAACUUUCUUCUAAUGCCUCAGGUAAAAAAUAUGAAUGACUUAUAACUUGAAAACAGAAACCAAUCUCAGGGUUGUCAUUCAGCUAGACAUUUUGAACUGACAUCUUUGCUAAAUUUAGUGCAUUGUAAGGGGUUAAAAAAGGGCAUAGAUUUUUUUUAAAAGUAUGUAUGUGUACGUAUUUUUUAAAAAAAAACUUGUCCAGUUUACAAAUCUUAACCAAGAAAUAAGAUAUUUCCUUUAGAUAAUGCACUACAUAUUAGGUCAUAAAGGAUCAACUCACAAUUUAUAGUCCCAGUGCAUAGUUCUGUAGCCUGUAAGCUCCGCAGACCCGAAACACUUACUUACUCAGAGAUAACACCCAACACAAAAGUCUCCUUUUUCAUUUCAUGGGUAGAGCCUCAUUAUGUGCUUUCCCAAAGGUGGAGGGUUUAGAGAUUCCUCUUCCCCUUUAUCAUUCUGUAUAGUGUAUUGUCCAGUAGUUCACUGCCACAGAGAUUCUCUAGGUCAUUUCCUGUGGACAUUCUCUUGCCUCAUCAGUGACCCAGACGUGGUCUCUGUUCUGACAAAUGAUAUGGCUCCACCUUGCUGCAUGCCUGCCUCUUCCCAGACCAGGCUAGGCCCUUGCUUUGGAGCUCAAAACUCCAGGCCACAUAAGGGCAGAGCAGCCACGUCGGAGCUGCUCCUGGCACCAAGGAAAAUUAUUUGCCCCGAGAGGCAAACACAGCCCAGGCAGUGUCCAGGGUAUCAAUCCCUCUCUUCUCUGUUAUAAAAGGCCCUAUUGUAGGAACACAAAUCAUUCAGAGAUGGCAUGUACAAUGUCUAAUCACUUAAUAGCCACUGAGCACCCACUGGGUUUGGGCCUCAAACUAGAUGCUGUCUGUCACCUAUUCACUGGAAAAAGGCAGGACAGAAUAUGACACAGAUUUAUAUUCAUCUCCGGUUCUAGUCCAUGACACCAGGGCAAACACACAUCUUUUGAAUGAGCAGACAAUUACAGCCAUAAUAGAGAUGAGAUAUUUUUAUCUCUGAGUAGCAAGAUAAGGGAUAGAACAUAAGCUUGGUGUUUGCAAUGACCUACUUGGAAAUUCUGUUUCUAGAAUUAAUCAGCUGUGUGGCCUUAGGGACCUAACUGAAUCUUCCUGGGAUUCUCCUCCCUUGUUUGCACAAGGAAAAUAACAACAACUAUUUCAUAAGGGUGGGAGGAACUUUAGAAGUACCCAAAGCUGUGCGUAGCACGUAGUAGGCACUCAAUAAUAUUAGCUUCCUUCCCAGUCUCUAGGAUUCUAAAUGCUUGUCAGGAUAUCUUAUAUACCAUAUCUUAUUUGAUCCUUACACGAAUCCUACUCAUGUGUUUUAAUUUCACAGGCAGAAUUUUAGGCCUUUGCAUUUCUUUCUGUUUCCUUUUUGGAAAUGUGAUUGAAAAGAUACACUUGUUUUCUCCAAUUACCUUAGCUCUGCCCCUUGGCAAAUCUUACAAAAUACCUGAAGCUAUAAAAGGGUUAAUUUAUUCCAGUGUUCCAGAUGUCUUCAGCACCUUGACUUUGGUAAUAUACUAAGAACAGUAAGUCUUUUUAAUGAAAGUGAAAGGUAUGCAUUGUACUUCAAUCUGGAACAUUUUCCCCCUGAAGAAACACUGCCACUGGGACUGCAUCCCGCCAUUUUAGACAGGGUGAGAUAUGUUUUUGCUCAGGUUUACACUUUUUCAGCACAUUUUCAAGCAACUGCAGUUGGUAUCCAAGCAGUUAAAACUACAUCAGCACUAAUAGCUAUGAGCUCAUCUUGUAUAAAGACAUUUUUAGUUAAACACCACAAUCUUAGGGGGGAAAAAAGUUAGCGUGCUUAACCAGGCUGGCUUGGAAUAGCUCACAAUAUGACGCAUACCACAGGAAAUAGAGUGGUAUGAGGCACCUACAAAAUAUUUUUCAAACAAGUCAUUGACGCUGUAAGCCCCAUGCCUCAGCUUUAGGAAGUCACUUAUUAAGAAUCAACACCAGCCGUGCCAAGCUAAGCUUUUGCUCUUGGUGAUUUUCCAAUUGAAUAUUCAGGGCCCUGUCUCAGUCUUGUUUUCAGGGAAGUACAUGCCUGGAAUGUUAGCAAGCUAUUUGCUGGAAAAAAUGCCCACAACAGGCCCAAUGUUGAUCACAUUAAUGCGUUUGAGUGGGUAUAGAGUGCAAAUGAUUGAAAAUGCUUCCAGAUCCCCGUUACAGGGGACAAAGCAGGCUCUGUUCUCUGAUCUGAUGGUCAUUUUUUUUCCAGCAGAGGAUGUGGUGCAGGAAGAGGGAAGAGUGCCAAUCUCUGUCUAAUGGUUCCAAAUAGGGCCUGGGCCUAGCUCUUUGGAUGCUGAUGAGUGGGAAAUGAAACACAGAUGGGUCAGCUGGGUAAGGAGAGGGGGAUUACAGGUCAGGCCAAAGAGUUGGAAUAAAUUAAGUGCUUAUGAGGUACAGAAUGGCACAUUGUUUAAGUGAAUGGACAGGGAAAAAACAUUCCAGCAUUGUUUGGUCCAGUGAACGAACCCAACGUUCCCCCUCCCAGACCAACACAGGCUGCAGAGCUCCUCAUCCUCAGGACGUAUGUGAGCAACAAACCAAUAUGUGGCCAGUGGAUGCCUGAAACAUUUUUCUCCACCCUAAGGAAGCCAAUUUUGUUUUAUUACACAUGAGAUGUAAUUUAUUGGAAGAAAUGUUUGGGUUCAUGUGUCAGAUCAUAGAGAGUCAGAUUUGGGGUUCCCCCGGGAUCUCUGAGGAGAAGGUGAGUAACCACAAAUUAAUACAGCAGGGAAAUAAAGUGACAAAAGAAAUGUUUCAUUGUGCUUGAAAUAUUGAACCAAUUUCCCCCUUUUUAGCCUUUUAAACCUUUGCUCACAAAUCAAAGAGUAACUUAAGAAAAUUCAACAGAAGCCCGUAGUGCCUGAUUUAAAAAAAAUGGAAUUCAGUAUAUUCUUCCUUAGUUUUAAGUGUCUACAUACUAUAGGGGAAGAUGAUAAACAUGGCUUUUUGAGAAAAUUAGAAAAUUAUCAAAGUGAUUAGAUAACAACAACAAAAAAAGCAUAGAUAGCAAUAAUAGAACUGUCCAUUUUGGGUUCUAGCUGUGUUAGAGAAACCAUAAAAUCUCAACAUCUGUGUAAGCCCAAUUAUUUAAUAUUAGGUAAUCAUAGGACAAACUGGAUAAAUUGUGUUUUUUUGAGGGCACAAAACCAAUAAAAUGUUAAGGGCAGAAAGUGUCACAUAAAGAAAGAGAGUUAAAGUUUCAGUUGCCAACAAAAUUAGAAGGUUCUAAAGCUUGGAAUUAAUGGUUUAUUUUUUAGUAUGACAGAAAUUAUUUUCAGAAGCUUAUUUUCAUACCAGUCAUGUUUCCAUUUUAUGGACUUGACCUUUACCAGAAUAUCCCACAGGCAAAGCUGGAGACAGUGGUUGUCUGCAGUCAUGGGGAUGCUCAUGCUUCGAGUAUUAAGAACUCCUCAGUUUAUCGGAGGCUGUAUUACAGCUCCAGAGUCAAGGAGGGAGAUCAUCCCAAGAAAUUAGGGUAGAAAGUCUCCAUGGGGAAUAUCUCUAAGAGAUUGGUGAUUUUAAUUGUUAUUAUUAUUGUAAGUUGGUUCAGGGAAUGAUACCAAUUAAUACAUACAUGUCAUCUUGUUUUCCACUUUUAAAUUCUAUUUCAAAACUAAUUGUAAUUUAAAUAUCUUAUCUCUUCCUCCCAAUCUUCUUCCCUCCAAAAUUUCAUUAUGCUGUGCUCUGAGUCUUGGAAAGGAACCCCAAGAAUAAAUAACCAAUUCAUAAAGCAAAUUUGAAAAAUGACUAUGAUAUAAGAGUUGGAGAAAAAAUGAAUACAGAGAAAUUUCUACCUUAUGCUGAGCAAAAACAUAAAACUGUUAUUCAUGGAAAGAAGGACACAGACCCAUCAGAAACUAAUAUCCGGUUGUGGACAUUUGCUGCUUCCUUUCCAAUAAAGUGGAUGAUGUU